CGGAACGGGGUGGAGUAACGCGUGAGGAACCUGCCUCAAAGAGGGGGGAAACAGUUGGAAACGACUGCUAAUACCGCAUAAGCCCACGGCUCGGCAUCGAGCAGAGGGAAAAGGAGCAAUCCGCUUUGAGAUGGCCUCGCGUCCGAUUAGCUAGUUGGUGAGGUAACGGCCCACCAAGGCGACGAUCGGUAGCCGGACUGGGAGGUUGAACGGCCACAUUGGGACUGAGACACGGCCCAG
This 240-nucleotide ribosomal RNA is filed under the name uncultured bacterium. RNAcentral's name for it is "partial 16S ribosomal RNA". It matches the Rfam family "Bacterial small subunit ribosomal RNA", at positions 104 to 334 of the family's 1533-position model. The record is from RNAcentral.